GAUGAACGCUGGCGGCGUGCUUAACACAUGCAAGUCGAACGAAGCGCCUUAUUUGAUUUUCUUCGGAACUGAAGAUUUGGUGACUGAGUGGCGGACGGGUGAGUAACGCGUGGGUAACCUACCCUGUACAGGGGGAUAACAAUCAGAAAUGACUGCUAAUACCGCAUAAGACCACAGCACCGCAUGGUGCAGGGGUAAAAACUCCGGUGGUACAGGAUGGACCCGCGUCUGAUUAGCUGGUUGGUGAGGUAACGGCUCACCAAGGCGACGAUCAGUAGCCGGCUUGAGAGAGUGAACGGCCACAUUGGGACUGAGACACGGCCCAAACUCCUACGGGAGGCAGCAGUGGGGAAUAUUGCACAAUGGGGGGAACCCUGAUGCAGCGACGCCGCGUGAGUGAAGAAGUAUCUCGGUAUGUAAAGCUCUAUCAGCAGGGAAGAAAAUGACGGUACCUGACUAAGAAGCCCCGG
Molecule: ribosomal RNA, 470 nt
Filed under: uncultured bacterium
Lineage: Bacteria
Description: bacterial SSU rRNA
Rfam family: Bacterial small subunit ribosomal RNA
Source: RNAcentral